GGAGGUUACUGCUAUCGGUGUUCGCCUCCUUCAUGCGAGUCAUAUGUUCUUCGUGAACAUGGCGUACUGCUCAGUAACACGUGAAUAACCUGCCCUUGGGACCGGCAUAACCCCGGGAAACUGGGGAUAAUUCCGGAUACCGCAUAUAUGCUGGAAUGCUUUAUGCGUGAAAUGGAUUCGUCUGCCCAAGGAUGGGUCUGCGGCCUAUCAGGUAGUAGGGGGUGUAAUGUACCUACUACCCUACAACGGGUACGGGUUGUGAAAGCAAGAGCCCGGAAAUGGAUUCUGAAACAUGAAUCCAGGCCCUACGGGGCGCAGCAGGCGCAAAAACUUUACAAUGCGGAAAACCGUGAUAAGGGGACACCGAGUGCCACCAACAUUUGUUGGCUGUCCAGGUGUGUAAACUACACCUGUUAGCAAGGGCCGGGCAAGACCGGUGCCAGCAC
RNAcentral lists this ribosomal RNA (446 nucleotides) under uncultured archaeon. RNAcentral describes it as "bacterial SSU rRNA". It matches the Rfam family "Archaeal small subunit ribosomal RNA", at positions 19 to 464 of the family's 1478-position model. The record is from RNAcentral.